CAUUUUAUCACAUUCAUAUUCAAUGUUUAAAACACAAAUGUAUUUUAGACACAUGCUCAAUACUGCACCAAACCUUGGCACACUUGAGGCCAAAAUCAAAGGAAAUCAAGGCAUAUAAACAUAGGCCAGUGAGCUAAAAGUUUAUGACUUACUCAGCCGAACAUUUUUUACUCACUAUUUGUAUCUCCCACGCAGUACGGUCCAGAGAUUCUUCCAGAGGCAGCUGUAUGUGGCAAAACAAAUUGGGUUAUACACUAUCCCUAAACUGUCUCUGCCUAAAAGAAAGGUUAUUACCCUAAAAAAAAGGCACUUUUACUUAUUGGUGGCUUUCCCUAAAUCCACGUCUAACCCUAAUGAUAUAAUGGCUUUUGUGUGUGCACUUAUGUGUAGGCAUGCAUAUGAAGUAAUCAGAGAUAUACUUUGCAUUAGAUAUCAGGUUGGGUUACCAUGUGUGUGGCAACUGUACAGCCAUGGCCCCCAGUAUACCCAAACUACAUGUGUGCGUUCUCACAUGCUGGUGAACAUACAAAAGCAAAACAAUGCUGUUUGUGUUCACCAAUUUGAUGUUGCUGAUAUUUCCGACAACAUUGCAUAACCAUUGGUGAGUGCAUAGGGACGUGGUUAUAGAAGUUUGCGUUCCCCAUGUAGGAAUGCACCCUAAGGUCUAGCUACAUACAGCAUGUGUUCAAACUUUGGGUUUUAGACACUAGCACACUAAAUAAGCAAGGAACUUUGUUACAUGUAAGUGAUCGCCAAAAACAAGCCCCCACAUGGCAGCUACAUAGUGAUGACCCAAGAGAGCUGUGCAGUAAUAUGAUCACAUCCACAAAACAAUACUAAAGGGCCCAGAUGUAUUCAAGCACUUCCAGCAAAGUGCAGGGUGGGUAAAGAUGGGAUCACUUCAGCCAUGCUGCGACAUUUAAAGAGGAGCCUUGGCCAAAAGUAUUUUUCAUUUCACAGCCCCAAGUGCCCACUUCAAUUUUUCUCAGGUAGGGGGAAACUAGGGGUGUGAAUAUGAGGCUGUGGGGGAUGUGAAUCAUGCUGGGUGCCAUAUUCACACUCCUUUUUGAGCCCAUUUAGGAGGUUUUAUGUAGGUGCUAAUAUUAAAAUAUCACUCCGGGGAAUAUUUAUUAAAACCUGUGUGGAGGAGUGGUGCUGCUGCAUAUAGCAAGCCCAUGAACUUCUUCCUUUUGUUAAAAUACCUCUGUUCCUCUACACAGGCUUUGAUUUGCGGUAUCUCCCCAGAACACAGUCCAAUAUUACAGAUUGUUAUAAAAUCUACUAAUCAUGAAGAGCCUAUGUAGAUGCACAAGUCACCUACUAUAUACAUUUUUUUUCUGUUCAAACCAAGUGGAUUCACAUUCAUGCCUCACAUUGUAAACCGCCCCCCUUCUAGGAUACAUGUGCACCACCUCAAUGACACCAAAAUUCGGGGCUUUGGGGUUUCCUCCAUGAACCUCUAACUUGUAUAGGAAAAUAGUGGUUUCACAUUCAUUCCUAAGAUCUCCUUAGAGGCCCCUUUUUAGUCUCUCCCACUAAACCAAUUGAGUAUUACCAUUAAAAGGUGUACUCCGGUGGAAAACAUUUUUUUUCAAAUCAACUGGCUUCAGAAAGUUAAAAAGAUUUGUAAAUCACUUCCAUUAAAAAAAAGCUUAAUCCUUCCAGUACUUAGCUGCUGUAUGCUCCAGAGGAAGUUGUAUAGUUAUUUUCUGUCUGACCACAGUGCUCUCUUCUGACACCUCUGUCCAUGUCCAGAGUAGGAGCAAAUCCCCAUAGCAAACCUCUCCUGCUCUGGACAGAGGUGUCAGCAGAGAGCACUGUGGACAGACUGAAAAGAACCACACAACAGCUGAUAAGUACUGGAAGGAUUAAGAUUUUUUAAUAGAAAUGGUUUACAAAUCUGUUUAACCAGUUGAUUUGAAAACCAUUGUUUUCCACCGGAGUAUUCCUUUAACCAAAACAUUUAAACUUUUAAAGCUUCACACCCAGGCGUUCUCUACCCUCACCACACUUUUACAUUUGUAUUGGUCAGUUCUCAAGCUAUGACCUCAUAGUGGCUGUGAACCACACAAUGUAAGUGAUACACUUCAUGAUCAUGUCUUGGAGGUUGGGGAAAGUUACAAAGACACUACUUGUCAGUUUGACCUUCAUAUUUCCCAGUUAGAUGCAAAGGAUGUUCCCACCACCUCAACUCGGGAUCUGCUUGAUGCGAGUCAGAUCCAUCUGCAUGUAACAUAUUGGAAAACUGGCACCCAGAAGGCAAAGGAUCAGGCAGCACUGGAGCUGUGACCACAGUUGUGUUGUUCCGACCUUCAAAUAAAUGGCUGAUAACAGGAAACAACAGCUGUUUUGCAGGGUGCGGCCAUGUGAGUGGAAAACAGAGGCCAUAUUGUCCCAAGAACAGAUUCCUCAUGAUUUCCAUAGCCGCCUGAUAAGGUCACGCCUGCGAUCGCCAAAUCUUCAGUGUUCCGGGAGAAUUGAAAAACAAGCUGGAGAAGGGGCAUGUGUUAACUGGC
Long non-coding RNA from Hyla sarda, 2516 nucleotides. RefSeq lists it as uncharacterized. The transcript has 3 exons. The record is from RefSeq and is a predicted model, not a curated record. NCBI's taxonomy places the organism in Eukaryota, Metazoa, Chordata, Amphibia, Anura, Hylidae.